This 315-nucleotide long non-coding RNA is filed under the name Dromaius novaehollandiae (emu). RNAcentral describes it as "lncRNA (ENSDNVG00000018172.1)". The record is from RNAcentral. Lineage: Eukaryota; Metazoa; Chordata; Aves; Casuariiformes; Dromaiidae.
AUGUGGUUCCUUACACAAGUAUCUUCACCUAGGUCUGGGCUGUGGCUCCUCGUGACACACCACCUCCCAGACGUACUAUGGAACAGUGCCCUUAGAUCCUGUGGAGCAUUAAGAUUCAAACAAUCCAAGCUACAAUUAUGACUGAGCACAAGAAAAGGCCAAAACAUUUAAUCUGAUGUCUCAGAGACCUGGACUUUCUCAGAUGAUAUGGUUCUAUGAAGCAGCAUGCUCAGAAGUUAGUGAUGUAUCUUAAGUGUAAUUCACAUUCCUAUCUAUCUUGCACUACAUGUUAAUAAAGUUCGUGUUUGAAAUACA